Non-coding RNA from Phascolarctos cinereus (koala), 312 nucleotides. NCBI's taxonomy places the organism in Eukaryota, Metazoa, Chordata, Mammalia, Diprotodontia, Phascolarctidae. The record is from RefSeq and is a predicted model, not a curated record.
UCCCGACCACGUACCCCAGAGCUCAUGGAAAGGAAUAACGGAAGAGGGUAUCCACUCCCUAGCUCAAGAUCAUGAACUAAAUGAACCAAAGAAGGGAUAGGACCACUGCUCAGGUUGUGUGGGAUUAAUGAUCAUUGGCGACAGAAAGAAGAUGAAAUUGCUCAAGAAGGAUUUUUGAACAAAAAUGGCCCCAGGGGAACCGAUACCAACAUAAGUGAAGCAAUGGUUCUGUGCGACUAUGCCCACAGAGAAAGUCACUGGAUUUGGAAUCAGAAGACUUGGAUUCAAGUCCAGACUCUUACAACUAAUGUG